Molecule: long non-coding RNA, 361 nt
Filed under: Salmo salar (Atlantic salmon)
Lineage: Eukaryota; Metazoa; Chordata; Actinopteri; Salmoniformes; Salmonidae
Description: lncRNA (ENSSSAG00000106439.1)
Source: RNAcentral
GGAAGGUGGUGAUUGACUCCGCUGUCCUGGCGUCGUGAGGGAGCUUGUUCCACCAUUGGGGUGCCAGAGCAGCGAACAGUUUUGACUGGGCUGAGCGGGAACUGUGCUUCCUCAGAGGUAGGGAGGCGAGCAGGAACUGUGCUUCCUCAGAGGUAGGGGGGCCAGCAGGCCAGAGGUGGAUGAACGCAGUGCCCUUGUUUGGGUGUAGGGCCUGAUCAGAGCCUGAAGGUAUGGAGGUGCCGUUCCCUUCAUAGCUCCGUAGGCAAGGACCAUGGUCUUGUAGCGGAUGCGAGCUUCAACUGGAAGCCAGUGGAGAGAGCGGAGGAGCGGGGUGACGUGAGAGAACUUGGGAAGGUUGAAC